CUACGGGGGGCACCAGUGGGGAAUAUUGCACAAUGGGCGCAAGCCUGAUGCAGCAACGCCGCGUGAGUGAAGAAGGCCUUCGGGUCGUAAAACUCUGUCCUAAGGGAAGAAUAAUGACGGUACCUUAGGAGGAAGCCCCGGCUAACUACGUGCCAGCAGCCGCGGUAAUACGUAGGGGGCAAGCGUUAUCCGGAAUCACUGGGCGUAAAGGGUGCGUAGGCGGCCUGUCAAGUCAGAAGUGAAAGGCUAUGGCUCAACCAUAGUAAGCUUUUGAAACUGAUGGGCUUGAAUACAGGAGAGGUAAGUGGAAUUCCUAGUGUAGCGGUGAAAUGCGUAGAGAUUAGGAGGAACACCAGUGGCGAAGGCGACUUACUGGACUGUUAUUGACGCUGAGGCACGAAAGCGUGGGGAGCGAACAGGAUUAGAUACCCGUGUAGUC
Molecule: ribosomal RNA, 439 nt
Filed under: uncultured bacterium
Lineage: Bacteria
Description: partial 16S ribosomal RNA
Rfam family: Bacterial small subunit ribosomal RNA
Source: RNAcentral